CUAUGGGAGGCAGCAGUAAGGAAUAUUGGUCAAUGGAGGCAAGUGUGAACCAGCCAUGCUGCGUGCAGGAAGACAGCCCUAUGGGUGGUAAACUGCUUUUAUUCGGGAAUAAACCUACUUACGUGUAAGUAGCUGAAUGUACCGAAGGAAUAAGGAUCGGCUAACUCCGUGCCAGCAGCCGGGGUAAUACGGAGGAUCCAAGCGUUAUCCGGAUUUAUUGGGUUUAAAGGGUGCGUAGGCGGCUUUUUAAGUCAGGGGUGAAAGACGGUGGCUCAACCAUCGCAGUGCCAUUGAUACUGA
Molecule: ribosomal RNA, 300 nt
Filed under: uncultured bacterium
Lineage: Bacteria
Description: bacterial SSU rRNA
Rfam family: Bacterial small subunit ribosomal RNA
Source: RNAcentral